UACGUAGGGUGCAAGCGUUGUCCGGAAUUAUUGGGCGUAAAGAGCUCGUAGGCGGCUUGUCACGUCGACUGUGAAAACCCGGGGCUCAACUCCGGGCCUGCAGUCGAUACGGGCUGGCUUGAGUGCGGUAGGGGAGACUGGAAUUCCUGGUGUAGCGGUGAAAUGCGCAGAUAUCAGGAAGAACACCCGUGGCGAAAGCGGCUCUCUGGAACGGUACUGACGCUGAGACGCGAAAGCGUGGGGAGCGAACAGG
This 253-nucleotide ribosomal RNA is filed under the name uncultured bacterium. RNAcentral describes it as "partial 16S ribosomal RNA". It matches the Rfam family "Bacterial small subunit ribosomal RNA", at positions 524 to 776 of the family's 1533-position model. The record is from RNAcentral.